Anguilla rostrata (American eel) is the source of this 1210-nucleotide long non-coding RNA. RefSeq lists it as uncharacterized. The transcript has 2 exons. NCBI's taxonomy places the organism in Eukaryota, Metazoa, Chordata, Actinopteri, Anguilliformes, Anguillidae. The record is from RefSeq and is a predicted model, not a curated record.
UCUCUGGGGUCGAGAGCUCCGCCGGCGGAGCUCGACAAGAUUUCGUUGCUAUUUGGAUGAAUAACUUCGCGAGCUUUUAUCAUACGGACACAACAAAGACAUUGACAUAAACCUUAGAAUCGUGGCAUUCCAAUGUACCCAUUGACAAAAUAUAUGAAUUGUUUUAAGCUAUUUAAAAUGAGAUCAAACUGACCAUUGCCAUGUGCUAAGUCUUUCUCAUUAAUAUGUGAUGUUCGCUCGGCAGUAAGUACGCCCAGACCACAUUCACAAGAUAAUGACAUGCUAAUUGCUAUCGAUGGCAGGGGAGGGGCGAUGCGUUUGAUGUGCGAGAGCGCCUACUGUAAACAAGGAUAAAAUGUCACACAGAAGCAUAGCCCACGUCUUCUCGGGCAAUCCUUACAUUUCAUUUCGGAAAAUGGCACGAAUGACUGGACUGGAUGUUCUUCAUGCUUUGUGGGAGAGCGACCAUGAAGACGCGAACUCAUCAGGUCCGGACACUGAAGCUGACACUGAUGAAGAACGAUGUCAUUUCGAACUGCGAACUGAUCCAGCUGAGGAUCAACUUCAUGAGUUUUUGUGAAGUGGAUGGACACACGAGAGGUGUCUGUCUGUUCCACCAUCCAUGCAGCAUUCACUGGGGACACAAUACAGCGGAGGGUGAAGCAAGAUGGUGUCUGGAUUUCAAAGAACUUUCCAUGCCCAUCACCUAUCAUCCAGUACAAUGCACACAUGGGGGGUGUUGAUCUGUCUGACCAACUGAUACAGUAUUACACAACACAGCACAAAACAAUGAGAUGGUACCGGAAAUUGUUUUUACAUUUCUUGGACAUUGCUGCCUCAAAUGCGUAUAUCCUACAUAAAGAACUGUCAUCACUGGGACAACAGGAAGCAAUGCCUCACAAGGCCUUCAUGGAGGAGCUCACUGCGCAGCUGUGUGGCGUCUCACAGAAGGCACCCAAUGUAACAAGACGGGAAUGUUAUGAUCAUGUGCCUGUGCCUACAGCCUCACACUCUGGAUGCCAGCAAGGUGGCUUCGAUUGGUCGCAAGACAUGUAAACUCUGCAGGAUGGACUUCGGGAAAAAACAACCCGUGGCAACCAUUCUGGAGUCAAAUUGUGUGUGUGAAGCAGAAAUAUUGGGUUUAUAUUGUGUAAAUGCUCUUUUAUAUUAUGCACUUUGCCUAAUAAAGUUGAUUCUGAUUCUGAAAUAA